AUGCAGUCGAGCGGACAGAUGGGAGCUUGCUCCCUGAUGUUAGCGGCGGACGGGUGAGUAACACGUGGGUAACCUGCCUGUAAGACUGGGAUAACUCCGGGAAACCGGGGCUAAUACCGGAUGGUUGUUUGAACCGCAUGGUUCAGACAUAAAAGGUGGCUUCGGCUACCACUUACAGAUGGACCCGCGGCGCAUUAGCUAGUUGGUGAGGUAACGGCUCACCAAGGCAACGAUGCGUAGCCGACCUGAGAGGGUGAUCGGCCACACUGGGACUGAGACACGGCCCAGACUCCUACGGGAGGCAGCAGUAGGGAAUCUUCCGCAAUGGACGAAAGUCUGACGGAGCAACGCCGCGUGAGUGAUGAAGGUUUUCGGAUCGUAAAGCUCUGUUGUUAGGGAAGAACAAGUGCCGUUCAAAUAGGGCGGCACCUUGACGGUACCUAACCAGAAAGCCACGGCUAACUACGUGCCAGCAGCCGCGGUAAUACGUAGGUGGCAAGCGUUGUCCGGAAUUAUUGGGCGUAAAGGGCUCGCAGGCGGUUUCUUAAGUCUGAUGUGAAAGCCCCCGGCUCAACCGGGGAGGGUCAUUGGAAAACUGGGGAACUUGAGUGCAUAUCAGGAGAGCGGAUUUCCAUGUGUAUUGGUGCAAAUGCCGUACAAUAUGUGUGAUGAACCUC
Molecule: ribosomal RNA, 677 nt
Filed under: Bacillus sp. (in: firmicutes)
Lineage: Bacteria; Bacillati; Bacillota; Bacilli; Caryophanales; Bacillaceae
Description: bacterial SSU rRNA
Rfam family: Bacterial small subunit ribosomal RNA
Source: RNAcentral